CCUACGGGAGGCAGCAGUGGGGAAUAUUGCACAAUGGGCGCAAGCCUGAUGCAGCCAUGCCGCGUGUAUGAAGAAGGCCUUCAGGUUGUAAAGUACUUUCAGCGGGGAGGAAGGCGAUAAGGUUAAUAACCUUGUCGAUUGACGUUACCCGCAGAAGAAGCACCGGCUAACUACGUGCCAGCAGCCGCGGUAAU
This 194-nucleotide ribosomal RNA is filed under the name uncultured bacterium. RNAcentral describes it as "partial 16S ribosomal RNA". It matches the Rfam family "Bacterial small subunit ribosomal RNA", at positions 338 to 524 of the family's 1533-position model. The record is from RNAcentral.